AACAAUUCCAACCCAACCCUCUCAAAUCCCUCAUUUCCCUGACCAAAUUACAACAGCCCAACAACUAUACUGCUAGCAGCCUAACAAAAAUAAUUAGACCCGGCCCACACCCCUCAUUUCCUUCUUAUCCACAGGCCACAGCAAACAACCACCAACAUAACGCAAAACAACAACAUUCAACGGCAAAACUCAACCUCUAAACAUAUAUGCGUAACAGCAACAACAACACUCCAGCAAUAUCACGCGUAAUGGAGACAACAACUAUCCAGCAAUAUCACGGGUGAAAAAGCAACAACAACGACCCGCCGAUAUCUAUUUCUGCAAAUCCAACCCGGAUUCACGCGUACAAUUGACAACACAGCAAAACCAUCAAAAGCAAAACUAACCGUUCCCCUCCAUUUACCCUUUUACCCCUCCUCGUACAGCCAAAGAUGGCUAAAAGCUUCAUCUACUUUUGCUGUCAGAUGGUGUUCAUCCAUUUUCGAUAAAACACCAAUGGAUACAAGAAAUUCGGAUUUGAAAUUCAAUAUUUGNNNNN
Molecule: long non-coding RNA, 538 nt
Filed under: Capsicum annuum
Lineage: Eukaryota; Viridiplantae; Streptophyta; Magnoliopsida; Solanales; Solanaceae
Description: long non-coding RNA (CANN_LNC002031)
Source: RNAcentral